RNAcentral lists this ribosomal RNA (244 nucleotides) under uncultured bacterium. RNAcentral describes it as "partial 16S ribosomal RNA". It matches the Rfam family "Bacterial small subunit ribosomal RNA", at positions 524 to 767 of the family's 1533-position model. The record is from RNAcentral.
UACGAAGGGGGCUAGCGUUGUUCGGAAUUACUGGGCGUAAAGGGCGCGCAGGCGGCUUGGCGAGUUGGGCGUGAAAGGCCCGGGCUUAACCCGGGAACUGCGCUCGAUACUGCUAGGCUUGAGUGUGGGAGAGGAUGGUGGAAUUCCUAGUGUAGAGGUGAAAUUCGUAGAUAUUAGGAAGAACACCGGCGGCGAAGGCGGCCAUCUGGACCACAACUGACGCUGAGGCGCGAAAGCGUGGGGA